Molecule: unclassified non-coding RNA, 401 nt
Filed under: soil metagenome
Description: partial contains 5.8S ribosomal RNA, internal transcribed spacer 2, and large subunit ribosomal RNA
Rfam family: 5.8S ribosomal RNA (bases 1-121)
Source: RNAcentral
GAUGAAGAACGUAGCGAAAUGCGAUAAGUAAUGUGAAUUGCAGAAUUCAGUGAAUCAUCGAAUCUUUGAACGCACCUUGCGCCCUUUGGCUAUUCUGAAGGGCAUGCCUGUUUGAGUAUCAUGAACACCUCAACUCUCAUGGUUUGCCAUGAUGAGCUUGGACUUUGGGGGUCUUGCUGGCCUACGGUCGGCUCCUCUCAAAUGAAUCAGCUUGCCAGUGUUUGGUGGCAUCACGGGUGUGAUAACUAUCUACGCUUGUGGUUUCCCACCAGGUAACCUUCAGUGAUGGAGGUUCGCUGGGGCUCAUAAAUGUCCCUCCACAGUGAGGACAGCUUUUGAACGUUUGAUCUCAAAUCAGGUAGGACUACCCGCUGAACUUAAGCAUAUAAAUAAGCGGAGGA